RNAcentral lists this ribosomal RNA (253 nucleotides) under uncultured bacterium. Its description in RNAcentral is "partial 16S ribosomal RNA". It matches the Rfam family "Bacterial small subunit ribosomal RNA", at positions 524 to 776 of the family's 1533-position model. The record is from RNAcentral.
UACGGGGGGUGCAAGCGUUAUCCGGAUUCACUGGGUUUAAAGGGUGCGUAGGAGGGUAGGUAAGUCAGUGGUGAAAUCUUCGAGCUUAACUCGGAAACUGCCGUUGAUACUAUCUAUCUUGAAUACCGUGGAGGUGAGCGGAAUAUGUCAUGUAGCGGUGAAAUGCUUAGAUAUGACAUAGAACACCAAUUGCGAAGGCAGCUCGCUACACGAAUAUUGACUCUGAGGCACGAAAGCGUGGGGAUCAAACAGG